This 1686-nucleotide long non-coding RNA is filed under the name Numida meleagris (helmeted guineafowl). Its description in RNAcentral is "lncRNA (ENSNMEG00000010208.1)". The record is from RNAcentral. Lineage: Eukaryota; Metazoa; Chordata; Aves; Galliformes; Numididae.
UAUAAAUGUCUAAACUAGUUCUAUGGAGGGAACUUGAAAGUAUUAGAAACAGUGGAAGACAGGAGCUUCAGUUCAAAGAAGUGUUUUAGACUACUUCUUUAGUAGCCUUCAGCACACUGAAACAUGCUGUUUUCUUAGUCUUAGUGUCCUCUCCUGACAGCUCUGAAUGGUUUUUUCUGGCCAGAAGGCCCUGGGUUAUCCAAACCUCCUGCCCAGCAUCACCCUGCAGAAACCACAACCACUGGCCUAGCUGGGUGCUCUUCUCUGUUCCUUGGUCUUUGCCCUUCUUCGUGGAGUCUCUGCUGUGUCUGAGUGUGUCACAGAGCUGACAGUGACUUCACAGCUCCCUUGGUGACAGCAGCAGAUGCCUGAGUUGCAUCUCCAGAGGAUGGUGCAAGGACAUGACUUGGCUCUGGUCCCAGCAUGCUGAAUGCCAUGAAACUGGCACAGCAUGACUGGCUGUACCUUGGCCCUGGCCUCCUCCUGUUCCUGAUGGCCUGGGCUGCCCUGCACUGUUGGUUCAGCUUUUCCAAAAAAUGCCACCAGCAAAUCUCUGUCAGGAGCCAACACAGGUUAAGGUGCAUGAAGACCCAGGAAACAGUUGGUGAGGUGCACACAGACGUAUGUGAGCUUGGUCUGCUCUUCAUGGACGGCAGGCCACUGGGCCGGUUCCUGUGUUAUAACCCUGACUGUGAGCGCUGCAGCCAGGCCAUCAGGGAGAGGCAGUUGAGGCACCAUGCCAGGGGGGCCAGAAUGAGGGCCUCCCGCCAUCUGCACUCCUCUUCAUCUUCAAACUCCAGCACAUCCUGCCAGGAACUGAGCACAGCCAGCUCAUCCCAUUCCCCAACCAGGAAGAAGUUGGCCACCCAAAUUAACCUGCCCUCUGUUGAACUUUCAUGCCAGCCAGAGCUGAAGUACAGAAAAGAGAGGACACUCCUUCUCCAGCGCACAAUGAAGCACCAAAAAUUGCUGGCAAUCCAGGGGCUAGCUGACACAGCCACCUACAAUCCUGGCCUUCUCAGCCAGGCCCACCAGCUUACUGAAACAGAUUCUGUGCAGCCAAUGAGAGAUGUUUGCCACAAUGCCAGAUCACUCCCUACCACAGUUUCCACUUCUGAUAAGGAUGGCAGUCUGCCGACUGGAGUAGAUCCUCAUCCUGUGUCAAGGCUAGAGCAAGGACUCCACUUCUGGAAGCCCCUGAAGAUGCAUAUGCUGAGGAAGUCCAUAGAGACCAAGCUGAGAGUCUUCCCUACCAUUGUGCAGCAAUCCCACAAAACGUACACGCACAGGAUGGCAGCCUGCACAGCUUUCACACCGCUCCACUCCAGUUCUGCCCCCAUCUACUUCCAUUCACUGGAGGCUCUGUUCCUGCAGGAAGAGGUUCAAGAGGCCCUGGAGCUCCACAUCCGUGAAAAGAAACUGCAUCACCGGUGGGGCUUGCCUGGGAGGUUGCUGGCAACACCUCAGGCACAGCCAGCAUCCCCAUGACUGCAGUAUGCGGUGCUCCAAAUCCCGUACCACUCUUGGCACUGGGGCAUAGGCACCAGGUAAGGUGUCAGAGAGAAACCAACUCCUGCUGCCUGCACUAUGAGGGACAUAAUCUGCAAGUGAAGAUAGAGGCCUCCUUGUUGAAAAACUCCCACUGAUUUUUCUAAUUCCUAUUAAAAAUAUUAAACCCAUUCCUCU